GACGAACCGUGCGAACGUUGUUCGGAAUCACUGGGCUUAAAGGAUGCGUAGGCGGGUUCCCAAGUCCGGGGUGAAAUCUUUCGGCUUAACCGGAAAAUAGCCUCGGAUACUGGGAGUCUUGAGGGAGGUAGGGGCAGCUGGAACUUCCGGUGGAGCGGUGAAAUGCGUUGAUAUCGGAAGGAACGCCGGUGGCGAA
This 196-nucleotide ribosomal RNA is filed under the name uncultured prokaryote. RNAcentral's name for it is "partial 16S ribosomal RNA". It matches the Rfam family "Bacterial small subunit ribosomal RNA", at positions 524 to 719 of the family's 1533-position model. The record is from RNAcentral.